CCUACGGGAGGCAGCAGUGGGGAAUCUUGGGCAAUGGGCGCAAGCCUGACCCAGCGACGCCGCGUGGGGGAUGAAGGCCUUCGGGUUGUAAACCCCUGUCAGGGGGGGCGAAAGCCUCUCGGUGAAUAGCCGGGAGGUCUGACAGUACCCCCAAAGGAAGCCCCGGCUAACUCCGUGCCAGCAGCCGCGGUAAUACGGAGGGGGCUAGCGUUAUUCGGAAUUACUGGGCGUAAAGCGCGCGCAGGUGGCGCAGUAAGUGGCUGGUGAAAGCCCUCGGCUC
RNAcentral lists this ribosomal RNA (280 nucleotides) under uncultured bacterium. Its description in RNAcentral is "partial 16S ribosomal RNA". It matches the Rfam family "Bacterial small subunit ribosomal RNA", at positions 338 to 610 of the family's 1533-position model. The record is from RNAcentral.